RNAcentral lists this ribosomal RNA (440 nucleotides) under uncultured bacterium. RNAcentral describes it as "partial 16S ribosomal RNA". It matches the Rfam family "Bacterial small subunit ribosomal RNA", at positions 338 to 795 of the family's 1533-position model. The record is from RNAcentral.
CCUACGGGAGGCAGCAGUGGGGGAUAUUGCACAAUGGGGGGAACCCUGAUGCAGCGACGCCGCGUGGGUGAAGAAGCGCCUCGGCGCGUAAAGCCCUGUCAGCAGGGAGGAAAAUGACGGUACCUGAAGAAGAAGCCACGGCUCACUACGUUCCAGCAGCCGCGGUAAUACGAGGGGGGCAAGCGUUAUACGGAUUUACUGGGUGUAAAGGGGGCGGAGGCGGCGAUGCAAGCCAGGAGGGAAAGCCCGGGGCCCAACCCCGGGACUGCUCGUGGAACUGCGGGGCUGGAGUGCAGGAGGGGCAGGCGGAAUGUCUGGUGUAGCGGUGAAAUGCGUAGAGAUCAGGAGGAACACCGGUGGCGAAGGCGGCCUGCUGGACUGCAACUGACGUUGAGGCCCGAAAGCGUGGGGAGCAAACAGGAUUAGAUACCCGGGUAGUC